This 76-nucleotide transfer RNA is filed under the name Alphaproteobacteria bacterium. RNAcentral describes it as "tRNA-Lys". It matches the Rfam family "tRNA". Rfam says of the family: Transfer RNA (tRNA) molecules are approximately 80 nucleotides in length. The record is from RNAcentral. Lineage: Bacteria; Pseudomonadati; Pseudomonadota; Alphaproteobacteria. RNAcentral also lists the same sequence under 1 other name.
GGGCGCGUAGCUCAGUUGGUAGAGCAUCUGACUUUUAAUCAGGCGGUCGCAGGUUCGAAUCCUGCCGCGCUCACCA